CCAGGGGGCGGGCAGCGCCGGGAGUGGCGUCUGAGGUGAGCCCGAAGGCGGGCAGGGGCUCUCCAAGCAGAAGGCGGGCAUCGGGGGGGGGGAGGCCUGGGGGCCGUCUGGGCGGAGGGGGCGAUCUGUGCUGAGGCAUUUGCUUUGGGGGUGGGUUCGCCCCGCGUGUGCUGGGGGCCGGUGGGUGGCUGCGUGCGGCCUCAGGGGCUGACGGCGGCGUGUUUCCGGAGGAGAACACAGGAGGGGAGCAGGACCAGUUCACGGGAGGCCCUGUAAGGCCCUGCUGAGGAUUUGGGUGUGGGGAGGGGGUCCCACCAGGGCUCUGAGGUGAGCGCUGAGCCCUCGUGCAAGCGCUCCGGCUGCGAGGGGCGGACGGAUGGGGGGCAAGGCCAGGCUCGGAGGGACGGGAGAGGCUGAGAGGUCACGCAGGUGGGAGGCCGUGGCCUGAGUGGGCCCAGAGGUCAGCGGGUGGUCAGCGCCUCCGUGAGUCCCUCCCGCCCUCAGAGGAGGAAGGGGAUGGACCUGGUGCCCCCGUGAGUGUGUUCCGUGCUGGACACCUGACCCGCGCCAUCGCCCUGUGCCUGUAGGCCGCAUCUGUGAGCUGCAAGGUCACCCCCAUUCCACUCGUAGGCUCCGUGGUUGACCCCAGGCCCAGGGGGCUCAACGCCCAAGGUCUGUGUGACCCCAGAGCUCGUCCUGUCUUCACAGUAAAACAUCACAGGGAACCCGACACAUCACCAGGUCCACCAGGAGGAAACCCGUCUGUCUGGCGCCGCCGGGGGCAGUCACACGCCGCACGAGUCGGGGGUCCUCCUCACCUGGCUGAGCGCGGGGCGCACGGGCACGAGGUGUGUCCCGCCUCCUCUCACGCGCGCUCCUGUUAAGGGUUUACUGGGUGGUCUCUGUUCCUCACUCCGACUGUGCACAGGUGUCCUUUUCCACACUCAGCUGUGUGUCGUGUUCACCUGAAGUCGAGGUUCAGGGUUUUUCAUAAGAUGUUCUUGGAUGAUCAGCUGAAGAGAUCCCAAAGGCAGAACAUUCAAAACAAACUGGGCCUCUGAUGAUGCAACUUCACGUCAGAGUUAAGUCUGUGUUCAAAUGUGAGUAAGAGGCCUGCCUCGGAGCAGUCUGGACUCUAGCAGAGAGAGACACGGUUUACGGUAAACAGAUGAUCCCCGUAAAGCUCAUUCCUCGAGCGACUGCAUCGUGGGAAAGCGUUUUGAUGGCGCAGGGAAAAGAGCACCUGCGUUCUAGGCUCAGGGACCACGUCCUGCAGGCUUGUUAAAAGCAGCCUGACUCCUCUGCCAAAGAUGCUUUUUCCUUCUCUGCACCAGUCAAAUCACAAGAACAGGCAAAGCUUCGGGCAGAUGAGGGACCACACGGAAGUUUCAAAAGUUGUGCCAAAGCGUCCGUGGCGGAGCUGAGAUGUGACCUUCGAGAACGUGCAGGGCAAACAGCUGGCCGAUUCUCCUCUGCAGCGGCGACCGCUUUCUUGUGAAGAACAGAAGGAGUGGGAUGAGCUGGACAGCCUGUUGGUCUCUGAAAGCAGAGGCCAGAGUGCUGGCCGCUUGGGUGCCUUCAGCACGGAGCCUGGUGGGACCUCGCCGCAUAUCUGUUCACCUGCACGUUGACGAGUCUGCAAGGGAAAGAAUCAAAGUAAAGACCACGGGUUCUGACCGUCCCACACGCAGAAACAUGAGGCAGGGGAUGCUGUCAGUAGAGGGUCCCCUUUCUAUCACUGGGACCCCGGGGUCCCAGUGCCCUCCCGACUACCCAGGGCCAGGGUGCCCUUACAGAGCGUCUGUUUUCCAGGAAGCAGCUGGUACUCCCACCUUCCUAUUCCUUAUGUAUUUUAUAGAGGCUUGGAAGGGAGUCGAAACAGGUGGAAGCCGUGUGCGCCAGCGUCAGACACACCUGAGCCCCUUUUCCGGCUCUCACCCGCUGUGUGAUCCUGGGCAGCUUGCUCAGUAGCUCGGAGCCUGUUCUGUAUCUGCAGCCUCCUCAGAAGAGUCCUGGGCAGAGAUGGGGGACACGGGGUCUCUGCUCAUCGCAGCCACGCAGGACUCAGGCUGAGCCCGAAGGAAAUGCGAGCUCCCGAGGGUCCCUUGUUGGCAGUUCAAAUGGGCAGCCGGCUCACUUACGUCUGAUGGGCUGGGACCAGGCACAUGGUGCCUCCCACCCACCACAAAGCGUUCGGGAGUGCAGUCCGCACAGGCGCCGGGAAGGCGGAGAGCACGGCAUGCUUGGCAGUGAGCGCGACGCGGGGACCGGCCGGCGCUCCGGUGGACGAGCGCCCAGGGUCGCCUCCGCGCUGCCCGUGUCUUAGUUUGGGUCUGUUGUAUAUGAAAUAUUGUAUAUGUAUUAUUUUAGUAUUUUCAGGACUGUUUGUGGCUGAUAAGUCACUGACAUACUACGUUCUCCUUUUCAGAAGUGCUCAAGGUUGAAGAGGAGAGCCUUGGAGAUGAGGUAUUAAACCCGAAGGCGCGAUCUCGCCGGUGACGCGGGCGGCGGCGAGGUUCAGGGGGUCCCCAGCGAGGCAGCGUCUGGCUGGUUUGAUGUCUGGGGGCAUCUCGGGGGGCAGGCAGCCUAGCGCGACCUCAGCACGUGGCACUGGGCUCCCGACUUCUCCGCUUCGGGCCUGGGGACUUAGCCCCCUCGCUCACCUGUUUAUUCUUCCAACGUCUGCUGCGCCUCGCGGCAGCCGGGCGGGGCCGUGGCGCUGCCGGCAGGAGACGCGGCGUUUGUGUCUCAGAGAAGACGCAGACGGGGCGGGUGGGUGGCG
Molecule: non-coding RNA, 2782 nt
Organism: Vicugna pacos (alpaca)
Lineage: Eukaryota; Metazoa; Chordata; Mammalia; Artiodactyla; Camelidae
Source: RefSeq, a predicted model, not a curated record